UUUAGGGGGGGGAACCGAAGAACCUUACCAGGUCUUGACAUCCCUCUGACCGCUAUGGAGACAUAGCUUUCCCUUCGGGGACAGCGGUGACAGGUGGUGCAUGGUUGUCGUCAGCUCGUGUCGUGAGAUGUUGGGUUAAGUCCCGCAACGAGCGCAACCCUUGUCCUUAGUUGCCAUCAUUCAGUUGGCCACUUUAAGGAGACUCCCGUACAAAUACGGAGGAAGGUGGGGAUGACGUCAAAUCAUCAUGCCCCUUAUGACCUGGGCUACACACGUGCUACAAUGGACGGUACAAACGGUCGCGAAGUCGCGAGACGGAGCCAAUCCGAAAAAACCGUUCUCAGUUCGGAUUGCAGGCUGCAACUCGCCUGCAUGAAGCCGGAAUCGCUAGUAAUCGCGGAUCAGCAGACCUUCGU
Molecule: ribosomal RNA, 416 nt
Filed under: uncultured Lysinibacillus sp.
Lineage: Bacteria; Bacillati; Bacillota; Bacilli; Caryophanales; Bacillaceae
Description: bacterial SSU rRNA
Rfam family: Bacterial small subunit ribosomal RNA
Source: RNAcentral